GACGAACGCUGGCGGCGUGCUUAACACAUGCAAGUCGAACGGAAAGGCCCUGCUUUUGUGGUGUGCUCGAGUGGCGAACGGGUGAGUAACACGUGAGUAACCUGCCCUUGACUUUGGGAUAACUUCAGGAAACUGGGGCUAAUACCGGAUAGGAGCUCCUGCUGCAUGGCGGGGGUUGGAAAGUUUCGGCGGUUGGGGAUGGACUCGCGGCUUAUCAGCUUGUUGGUGGGGUAGUGGCUUACCAAGGCUUUGACGGGUAGCCGGCCUGAGAGGGUGACCGGCCACAUUGGGACUGAGAUACGGCACAGACUACUGCGGGAGGCAGCAGUGGGGAAUAUGGCACAAUAGGCGGAAGCCUGAUGCAGCAACGCCGCGUGCGGGAUGACGGCCUUCGAGUUGUGAACCGCUUUCGCCUGUGACGAAGCGUGAGUGACGGUAAUGGGUAAAGAAGCACCGGCUAACUACGUG
Molecule: ribosomal RNA, 468 nt
Filed under: uncultured bacterium
Lineage: Bacteria
Description: partial 16S ribosomal RNA
Rfam family: Bacterial small subunit ribosomal RNA
Source: RNAcentral